AUGGCUAUGGUCGAUGAGCCUCUCUAUCCAAUUGCCGUGCUGAUAGAUGAGCUUAAAAAUGAAGAUAUUCAAUUGCGCCUGAACUCCAUCAGAAGACUUUCCACUAUUGCACGGGCACUUGGAGAAGAAAGAACCAGGAAGGAACUGAUUCCUUUCCUCAGCGAAAACAAUGAUGAUGAAGAUGAGGUGCUUCUUGCAAUGGCUGAAGAAUUGGGUGUGUUCAUUCCUUAUGUUGGGGGUGUAGAGCAUGCUCAUGUUUUGCUCCCACCAUUGGAGACAUUGUCUACGGUGGAGGAAACCUGUGUCCGAGACAAAGCAGUUGAGUCGUUGUGCCGUAUUGGUGCACAGAUGAAAGAAAAUGACAUUGUUGACUAUUUCAUUGCAGUAGUAAAGAGGCUAGCGGCUGGUGAGUGGUUUACAGCUCGAGUAUCAUCCUGUGGUCUUUUCCAUAUAGCCUAUCCAAGUGCCACCGAUCCGUUGAAAACAGAACUGAGGACUAUUUAUGGCCAGUUAUGCCAAGAUGACAUGCCUAUGGUCAGAAGGGCAGCUGCAUCAAAUCUUGGGAAGUUUGCUGCCACUGUUGAACAGAGCCAUUUGAAGACAGAAAUCAUGUCGAUCUUUGAUGAUCUUACCCAAGAUGAUCAAGAUUCAGUACGUUUAUUGGCAGUUGAAGGCUGUGCUGCUCUUGGAAAAUUGUUAGAACCCCAAGAUUGUGUAGCCCAUAUCCUUCCAGUCAUUGUUAAUUUCUCCCAGGAUAAAUCUUGGCGUGUCCGUUAUAUGGUUGCAAACCAGUUGUAUGAGCUCUGCGAGGCAGUUGGCCCUGAGCCUACAAGAGCGGACCUGGUGCCUGCAUAUGUUCGCCUCCUCCGUGAUAAUGAGGCUGAAGUGCGGAUAGCAGCUGCCGGAAAAGUUACUAAGUUCUGUAGGAUAUUAAGUCCACAGCUUGCAAUUCAGCACAUUCUGCCAUGCGUCAAGGAAUUGUCAUCAGAUUCGUCUCAGCAUGUUCGCUCAGCUUUGGCUUCAGUCAUCAUGGGAAUGGCCCCUGUCUUGGGGAAGGAUGCUACCAUUGAACAACUUCUUCCUAUUUUUCUUUCUUUGCUGAAGGAUGAAUUUCCUGAUGUUCGACUCAACAUAAUCAGCAAGCUUGAUCAAGUUAAUCAGGUCAUUGGAAUUGACUUGCUGUCGCAAUCUCUAUUGCCGGCUAUUGUAGAACUUGCGGAGGAUAGGCACUGGAGGGUUCGUCUUGCAAUCAUUGAGUACAUCCCUCUGCUGGCUAGUCAGUUAGGUGUUGGGUUUUUUGAUGACAAGCUGGGGGCACUUUGCAUGCAAUGGUUGGAAGAUAAGGUUUUCUCGAUCAGAGAAGCUGCCGCAAACAACUUGAAGCGCCUGGCGGAGGAGUUUGGUCCAGAGUGGGCAAUGCAACAUAUAAUUCCUCAGGUGUUGGAGAAGAUAAACAACCCACAUUAUCUGUAUCGCAUGACCAUCCUGCAAGCUAUCUCAUUGCUAGCCCCUGUUAUGGGUGCAGAAAUAACAUGCCAAAAGCUGCUCCCUGUCGUCAUUAAUUCCUCGAAGGACAGAGUGCCGAACAUCAAGUUCAAUGUUGCGAAAGUUCUGCAGUCGCUUGUACCAAUCCUUGAUCAAUCUGUCGCUGAGAAGACUGUGAAGCCUUGCCUCGUUGAGCUGAGCGAGGACCCUGAUGUGGAUGUACGAUACUAUGCAAACCAGGCCCUUCAGGCAUGUGACCAGAUCAUGAUGUCUAGCUAA
RNAcentral lists this ribosomal RNA (1764 nucleotides) under Triticum aestivum (bread wheat). RNAcentral's name for it is "partial small subunit ribosomal RNA". The record is from RNAcentral. Lineage: Eukaryota; Viridiplantae; Streptophyta; Magnoliopsida; Poales; Poaceae.